This 1487-nucleotide ribosomal RNA is filed under the name Salmonella enterica. RNAcentral's name for it is "partial 23S ribosomal RNA". It matches the Rfam family "Bacterial large subunit ribosomal RNA", at positions 1332 to 2802 of the family's 2925-position model. Lineage: Bacteria; Pseudomonadati; Pseudomonadota; Gammaproteobacteria; Enterobacterales; Enterobacteriaceae. RNAcentral also lists the same sequence under 1 other name. The record is from RNAcentral.
GCUCGCCGGAAGACCAAGGGUUCCUGUCCAACGUUAAUCGGGGCAGGGUGAGUCGACCCCUAAGGCGAGGCCGAAAGGCGUAGUCGAUGGGAAACGGGUUAAUAUUCCCGUACUUGGUGUUACUGCGAAGGGGGGACGGAGAAGGCUAUGUUGGCCGGGCGACGGUUGUCCCGGUUUAAGCGUGUAGGUGUGUGUUCCAGGUAAAUCCGGUUCACUUUAACACUGAGGCGUGACGACGAGGCACUACGGUGCUGAAGCAACAAAUGCCCUGCUUCCAGGAAAAGCCUCUAAGCAUCAGGUAACAUCAAAUCGUACCCCAAACCGACACAGGUGGUCAGGUAGAGAAUACCAAGGCGCUUGAGAGAACUCGGGUGAAGGAACUAGGCAAAAUGGUGCCGUAACUUCGGGAGAAGGCACGCUGACACGUAGGUGAAGUGAUUUACUCAUGGAGCUGAAGUCAGUCGAAGAUACCAGCUGGCUGCAACUGUUUAUUAAAAACACAGCACUGUGCAAACACGAAAGUGGACGUAUACGGUGUGACGCCUGCCCGGUGCCGGAAGGUUAAUUGAUGGGGUCAGCGCAAGCGAAGCUCCUGAUCGAAGCCCCGGUAAACGGCGGCCGUAACUAUAACGGUCCUAAGGUAGCGAAAUUCCUUGUCGGGUAAGUUCCGACCUGCACGAAUGGCGUAAUGAUGGCCAGGCUGUCUCCACCCGAGACUCAGUGAAAUUGAACUCGCUGUGAAGAUGCAGUGUACCCGCGGCAAGACGGAAAGACCCCGUGAACCUUUACUAUAGCUUGACACUGAACAUUGAGCCUUGAUGUGUAGGAUAGGUGGGAGGCUUUGAAGUGUGGACGCCAGUCUGCAUGGAGCCGACCUUGAAAUACCACCCUUUAAUGUUUGAUGUUCUAACGUGGACCCGUUACCCGGGUUGCGGACAGUGUCUGGUGGGUAGUUUGACUGGGGCGGUCUCCUCCUAAAGAGUAACGGAGGAGCACGAAGGUUGGCUAAUCCUGGUCGGACAUCAGGAGGUUAGUGCAAUGGCAUAAGCCAGCUUGACUGCGAGCGUGACGGCGCGAGCAGGUGCGAAAGCAGGUCAUAGUGAUCCGGUGGUUCUGAAUGGAAGGGCCAUCGCUCAACGGAUAAAAGGUACUCCGGGGAUAACAGGCUGAUACCGCCCAAGAGUUCAUAUCGACGGCGGUGUUUGGCACCUCGAUGUCGGCUCAUCACAUCCUGGGGCUGAAGUAGGUCCCAAGGGUAUGGCUGUUCGCCAUUUAAAGUGGUACGCGAGCUGGGUUUAGAACGUCGUGAGACAGUUCGGUCCCUAUCUGCCGUGGGCGCUGGAGAACUGAGGGGGGCUGCUCCUAGUACGAGAGGACCGGAGUGGACGCAUCACUGGUGUUCGGGUUGUCAUGCCAAUGGCACUGCCCGGUAGCUAAAUGCGGAAGAGAUAAGUGCUGAAAGCAUCUAAGCACGAAACUUGCCCCGA